Molecule: ribosomal RNA, 408 nt
Filed under: Triticum aestivum (bread wheat)
Lineage: Eukaryota; Viridiplantae; Streptophyta; Magnoliopsida; Poales; Poaceae
Description: partial small subunit ribosomal RNA
Source: RNAcentral
AUGAUUCUGCGUGGCUCCACCGGCGACAUCAUUUUCUUAUCCUGUAGAGAGUUGCGUACAUGUACAGAACCAUUGGAGGCUGGGCUCUCAGCUUGCAUGGAGGGCAACAACCUCGCCCUGCAUUGGACGGAGAUGCCGAUAGAAGUAGAGACGGACUGCCUUUUCGCUCUUAACAUGAUUAAUGGCCCGGACAGGGAACGGUCUCGCUAUACCAUGUUGGUUGAUCAAAUUCAAAGGCUUUUGAGGGAAGAGAGGAUGUUCAAGCUAUCUCAUGUUCAUAGGGAACAGAAUGGUGCAAGCCAUUAUCUGGCCUCCUUUGAACGGACAGAAGGUCGCACUGUGGUGUGGUUGGGUUCGGGACCAGGAGACGUCCCUGAUAUUUGUAAGAAUGACUUAUGUCCUGAUUGA